UCAGCUUGGCGUUUCGGACUUACUCCUUGGCUACGCCUUCCGGGCGCUCCUCUGUAACCCGCGAGCGCGGUGCCCGGGGCGGGCGGUUCCGGCCCCGCGGGCGGCGGCGUGGCGGGUGGGCCGCGCAGGGAGUGCGGCCUGGGCUUGGAAGGCGGGGGAGGGGAACUUUAACCGGCACAGUUCGGAAUCCGGAAUUGCUAGCGCCCCUCUCUGGGCUUUAGGAGGGUCGGGCCGCGAAGGACCCCGGAGCUUAACCUUCAGCACAGACACCAGUAAAGAACAGACUCUCAUGCAGAAGAUGCCAAAUGAAGACAAGAGUCCCUGGAGGAUGAGAAGUCGCGUGGAGGAGAGGUGAGGCACGUCAGCCAACAACCAGCCCUGUUGGCAGAGAUUUAAGGAAAUUCUUUGGGGAGGCCCCUGCAAAGUCCGUCUUCUAAAAUAUGAAUGGUGUUGAUGGAAAAAGCUGAAAAGCUUUUUUUGAACAUGAAUCGGACUACCACCAUGUGGCCAACAGCGUGGCUCUUUUCCCACCAAACCCAGUACCAGAAGGACCAUUAAGAAGAGCUGAGUGGACUUUCAAGCUCCCUGCCCAUCCCUCUGAUGGAGAUGUUAAUGAAUCAACCAAACUGCCAGAAAAGAAGACAGCAGGAAGGAAAGUGAAAACUCAGGAGCCUGGGCCACUGCCAAGCUAGAAAUGCAGACGCUGAGGAAAUGGAAGGUACUGGAGGACUAACGUAAAGGAGCAACCCACAGGCCCACGCCUUGGGAGCACUACAGUUUCCAGAAGGUGGAGGGCCGUCUUAUUUGGCAGUGCUGCCCCACCCAGAUCACGUUCUGUCUCCAGUGUGACCAGCUGGGUGUUCACCUGAGCUGAGCAAGAGUGAGCUGGAACCAGGAGCCUGGCUUUCUGGCUCACAGUACCAAGGUGCAGGCAAUGGACUCGUCCAAGCACUCUCUCCUUACUUGAGCACGAUUUGCUAACAGGAUGAGGAAAGGGAGAGAAAGACAAAGAGUUUGUUUUUUAGGACAACUUUGUAAAUCCCACUGGCCUACAUUUUAUUGGUUUCCUCCUCAUGCUGCUUUCUAUUUGAUCUUUAUCUAUUUUGUUGGUUUAUUAACAUCAUAACAGCAAGGUCUCACAAUCCUUUUGAACCCCGGUGUAGUUUUAAUGAACAUAAAAACUGUCCAUGGUCUCUAAGGGUUAUUUGAAAUUCCAAAAUAAAUAGCAUCGGUGAAACAAAUGCGCAAGUCAUUUUAGAAUAAAGUUUCCGAACAGAUGAAAUAUUUUACGCAGCAAUUUAAUGUCCAUCAGGUUAAAAAGAAAAAAACACCACAAAAAUGCAGUUUGGUUUUUUGAUAGCCCCGUUCCCUGACCCCACCGCCGCCUUUUUUCCUGGGCCCUUUCUG
This is a long non-coding RNA of Neofelis nebulosa (Clouded leopard), 1407 nucleotides long. RefSeq lists it as uncharacterized. The transcript has 4 exons. The record is from RefSeq and is a predicted model, not a curated record. NCBI's taxonomy places the organism in Eukaryota, Metazoa, Chordata, Mammalia, Carnivora, Felidae.